This 304-nucleotide ribosomal RNA is filed under the name uncultured bacterium. RNAcentral's name for it is "bacterial SSU rRNA". It matches the Rfam family "Bacterial small subunit ribosomal RNA", at positions 790 to 1094 of the family's 1533-position model. The record is from RNAcentral.
GUAGUCCACGCCGUAAACGAUGUCUACUAGAAGCUCGGAACCUCGGUUCUGUUUUUCAAAGCUAACGCAUUAAGUAGACCGCCUGGGGAGUACGGCCGCAAGGUUAAAACUCAAAUGAAUUGACGGGGGCCCGCACAAGCGGUGGAGCAUGUGGUUUAAUUCGAUGCAACGCGAAGAACCUUACCUACACUUGACAUACAGAGAACUUACCAGAGAUGGUUUGGUGCCUUCGGGAACUCUGAUACAGGUGCUGCAUGGCUGUCGUCAGCUCGUGUUGUGAGAUGUUGGGUUAAGUCCCGUAACG